RNAcentral lists this long non-coding RNA (391 nucleotides) under Homo sapiens (human). RNAcentral's name for it is "non-protein coding lnc-MMP2-1:1". The record is from RNAcentral. Lineage: Eukaryota; Metazoa; Chordata; Mammalia; Primates; Hominidae.
AGCAUGGCAGAAUUCCCAGCACAUUUCAAGGAUCAGAUGUCCACAUCCGAGAUGAACCCAGCCCUUGGUGUUCAAAAUCACUUUAAGGGGAAGUAGAGCUUUUUCUUUCAUGUACCUGGACCAGUAGUUCACUUACUCUGAAAGUCAAGAGGCCCCAUGGACUGCCCAGCCCAGCUGCUGUGGAAUGUGGCAGAGAAAGAGGGUGAGAGGGCCUGGAUGACUCCCAUGCUGGGAGUAUUAUGCAAACGUGGGAGAAAAAAACAUGCUUCCUCUCCUGGCCUACAGGAGCGCUUGAAAGCCUGCUCAUCUGCAAGCCCUAGGGCUGGACUCUACAUCACAGCAGUGGAUACUCCAUCUCCAUUGAGAACCCGAUGACUGAGCCCAAUCCUGG